GUGACUGCGAAGGGGGGACGGAGAAGGCUAGGCCAUCCGGGCGACGGUCGUCCCGGUUUAAGCGUGUAGGUGGGAGGAGCAGGCAAAUCCGCUCUUCUGUGAACACUGAGGCGUGAUGACGAGCCGCUACGGCGGUGAAGUGGUUGAUGCCCGGCUUCCAGGAAAAGCCUCUAAGCACCAGGUGACAUUGAAUCGUACCCCAAACCGACACAGGUGGUCAGGUAGAGA
This 228-nucleotide ribosomal RNA is filed under the name Photorhabdus luminescens subsp. mexicana. RNAcentral's name for it is "Photorhabdus sp. MEX47-22 partial 23S ribosomal RNA". It matches the Rfam family "Bacterial large subunit ribosomal RNA", at positions 1450 to 1677 of the family's 2925-position model. Lineage: Bacteria; Pseudomonadati; Pseudomonadota; Gammaproteobacteria; Enterobacterales; Morganellaceae. The record is from RNAcentral.